RNAcentral lists this ribosomal RNA (238 nucleotides) under uncultured bacterium. RNAcentral's name for it is "partial 16S ribosomal RNA". It matches the Rfam family "Bacterial small subunit ribosomal RNA", at positions 796 to 1041 of the family's 1533-position model. The record is from RNAcentral.
CACGCCGUAAACGAUGAUGACUAACUAUAGCCGUGAGGCUGUGGUGAAGCAAACGCAUUAAGUCAUCCGCCUGGGAAGUACGGUCGCAAGACUGAAACUUAAAGGAAUUGACGGGUCCCCGCACAAGCAGUGGAGCAUGAGGUUUAAUUCGACGCUACGCGAAGAACCUUACCUGGACUUGACAUACCCUGAAUAUCUUAGAGAUAAGAGAAGCCCUUCGGGGCAGGGAUACAGGUGG